CAGUGGUGCAGUUGGUAGCACUGUUCCCUUACAGCAAGAACGUUCUGGGUUCGACUCCCGGCAUGGAGU
Non-coding RNA from Crenichthys baileyi (White River springfish), 69 nucleotides. The record is from the annotation of a GenBank genome assembly. Lineage: Eukaryota; Metazoa; Chordata; Actinopteri; Cyprinodontiformes; Goodeidae.